AGUCAACGCUGGCGGUAGGCCUAACACAUGCAAGUCGAACGGCAGCACAGUAAGAGCUUGCUCUUACGGGUGGCGAGUGGCGGACGGGUGAGGAAUACAUCGGAAUCUACUUUUUCGUGGGGGAUAACGUAGGGAAACUUACGCUAAUACCGCAUACGACCUACGGGUGAAAGCAGGGGAUCUUCGGACCUUGCGCGAUUGAAUGAGCCGAUGUCGGAUUAGCUAGUUGGCGGGGUAAAGGCCCACCAAGGCGACGAUCCGUAGCUGGUCUGAGAGGAUGAUCAGACACACUGUAACUGAGACACGGUCCAGACUCCUACGGGAAGAAGCGUUGGGGAAUAUUGGACAAUGGGCGCAAGCCUGAUCCAGCCAUACCGCGUGGGUGAAGAAGGCCUUCGGGUUGUAAAGCCCUUUUGUUAGGAAAGAAAAGCAGCAGGUUAAUACCCCGCUGUUCUGACGGUACCCAAAGAAUAAGCACCGGCUCACUUCGUG
Molecule: ribosomal RNA, 492 nt
Filed under: uncultured bacterium
Lineage: Bacteria
Description: partial 16S ribosomal RNA
Rfam family: Bacterial small subunit ribosomal RNA
Source: RNAcentral